Molecule: ribosomal RNA, 485 nt
Filed under: uncultured bacterium
Lineage: Bacteria
Description: bacterial SSU rRNA
Rfam family: Bacterial small subunit ribosomal RNA
Source: RNAcentral
GAUGAACGCUAGCGGCAGGCUUAACACAUGCAAGUCGAGGGGUAUUGGUUUUCGGACCAAGAGACCGGCGCACGGGUGCGUAACGCGUAUGCAAUCUACCUUUUGCAGAGGGAUAGCCCAGAGAAAUUUGGAUUAAUACCUCAUAGUAUAGUACUUUGGCAUCAAGGAACUAUUAAAGUCACAACGGCAAAAGAUGAGCAUGCGUCCCAUUAGCUAGUUGGUAAGGUAACGGCUUACCAAGGCUACGAUGGGUAGGGGUCCUGAGAGGGAGAUCCCCCCACACUGGUACUGAGACACGGACCAGACUCCUACGGGAGGCAGCAGUGAGGAAUAUUGGACAAUGGGCGCAAGCCUGAUCCAGCCAUGCCGCGUGCAGGAAGAAGGUCCUAUGGAUUGUAAACUGCUUUUAUACAAGAAGAAACACUCCCUCGUGAGGGAACUUGACGGUACUGUAUGAAUAAGGACCGGCUAACUCCGUGCCAGCA